This 253-nucleotide ribosomal RNA is filed under the name uncultured bacterium. RNAcentral describes it as "partial 16S ribosomal RNA". It matches the Rfam family "Bacterial small subunit ribosomal RNA", at positions 524 to 776 of the family's 1533-position model. The record is from RNAcentral.
UACGAAGGGGGCUAGCGUUGCUCGGAAUCACUGGGCGUAAAGGGUGCGUAGGCGGGGCUUUAAGUCAGGGGUGAAAUCCUGGAGCUCAACUCCAGAACUGCCUUUGAUACUGAGGAUCUUGAGUACGGGAGAGGUGAGUGGAACUGCGAGUGUAGAGGUGAAAUUCGUAGAUAUUCGCAAGAACACCAGUGGCGAAGGCGGCUCACUGGCCCGUUACUGACGCUGAGGCACGAAGGCCAGGGGAGCAAACGGG